CAACGUGGAGUAAUCGCCAAGCUGGCUGGCUACCCGGAUCACAUGAUUACAUAGAAACAUGAAACUUGACUAUGUGCUCGGGCAAGUUUUACUUCUCCCUAGAGCAGGGGUGUUUGCCGGUAGCCUGCACUCUCAGAAACCCGACUCGAGUAGCCAGCACGCUUGAGACCACAGGCUUGCCAUGCUGUUCCCUAGCAGGGCCAGGAGCUGCUGACGUUACCGCUGGACAGGCUCUUACAAUCACCAAACGGAAUGGACAAGCUUAAUAAAAUAACUGUCCCUGCCAGUCAGAAGCUGAGGCAGCUUCAGAAGAUGGUCCAUGAUAUUAAGAACAAUGAAGGUGGAAUAAUGAACAAAAUCAAAAAGCUGAAAGUCAAAGCUCCUCCAAGUGUUCCCCAAAGGGACUAUGCUUCAGAGAGCCCCGAGGACGAAGAGGAGCAGUGGUCGGAUGACUUUGACAGCGACUACGAAAAUCCAGACGAGCACUCGGACUCGGAGAUGUAUGUGAUGCCCGCCGAGGAGAACGCCGACGACAGCUAUGAGCCACCCCCUGCCGAGCAGGAGACCAGGACGGUCCACCCAGCCCUGCCCUUCGCCAGGGGCGAGUACGUAGACAACCGAUCAAGCCAGAGACAGUCUCCACCCUUCAGCAAGACGCUUCCCAGCAAGCCCAGCUGGCCUUCAGCCAAAGCAAGGCUCAUCUCCACCCUGCCGGCCCCCCCUUCUCUGCAGAAACCUCAAGUCCCGCCCAAGCCCAAAGGCCUCCCUGAAGACGAGGCUGAUUAUGUGGUUCCUGUGGAAGAUAACGAUGAAAACUAUAUUCAUCCCACAGAAAGCAGUUCACCUCCAUCUGAAAAAGCUCCCGUGGUGAAUAGAUCAAUCAAGCCGAAUAACUCCUCAAAGCCAGCCUCUCCUCCAGGAACGGUUUCAGGUCGAAACAGCGGGGCCUGGGAAACCAAGUCAUCUUCACCUGCUGCACCAUCCCCACUGCCGAGGGCCAGGAAAAAACCAGCUACACCACUGAAGACAACUCCAGUUGCCUCUCAACAGAAUGCAUCAAGUGUUUGUGAAGAAAAACCUAUACCUGCUGAACGCCACCGAGGGUCUAGUCACAGACAAGAAGCUGCGCAGUCACCAGUGUUUCCUCCUGCCCAGAAACACAUGCACCAAAAACCCGUACCUCUGCCAAGAUUUCCAGAAGGGGGAAGCUCAACUGUGGAUGGGCCAUUACCCAGCUUUUCACCUAAUUCCACUAUUUCAGAACAGGAAGCUGACGUCCACUGUAAGCCAUGGUAUGCUGGUGCCUGCGACCGAAAGUCUGCUGAAGAGGCAUUACACAGAUCAAACAAGGAUGGAUCAUUUCUUAUUCGGAAAAGCUCUGGCCAUGAUUCCAAACAGCCAUAUACACUAGUUGUAUUCUUUAAUAAGCGAGUAUAUAAUAUACCUGUGCGAUUUAUUGAAGCAACAAAACAAUAUGCUUUAGGCAGAAAGAAAAAUGGUGAAGAGGUCAGUAAUUUCUCCUUUAAUCAACUCUACAACUAUGCAUUGAGCACAAUGGCAUCAUACUGUAUUAGGUGCUAGAGAUGAGGAAAAAGGAUCCAAAGGUAUUUGGUCUUAUGCUUGCAUAAAUGUCAUAAAUAGAGACUAUGAUAAACACUAUAUUUGGGCAACAUAUCCUUUGAGAAACAGAAAAGGAAAAAAUGAUGUACAUCUUAGUCCUUUCCUCCACUUACUUAAUAAGGUCAAUCUGACUUAAGAUUUCAGUCCAGAGACACACAUCAAGGUUGAAUGUCAACCUUGAUUGAACCUUCAAUCAAGGUUGAAAUGUCAAAUAGAAUUAAGAUUGUCAGAAUCAAGGUCAGGGUCCAGAGCUCCAAAGUCAAGACCUAGAAUCUCAACUCAGGUACCGAGGUAGGCGGUGACCAGGGAAGGAUCUGGAAGAGAUGCAGAAACUUGAGUUAAAACAUUAGAUGAUAACUCUUGUACCAGAGUGAGCUUAUGGGCCUGCAGCAAGAAAAAAACAUCAAUCAUAUGAGUCUUAAAUAUUGACUGAACAUGAACUUUAAUGACUCUUUAAACUGGACCAAACUCAAUGCUUACCAUAUCUCAGAUUAUCCAGCCUGUUUGUAUAAAUGAACCCUGAAAUAUGAGCUGGAGUGACAGAUGAAAGACUCAGAAAGGGAGUGAUACUUGUUCUGCUUUUGAAUUAUGAGUUGAAUUUGAAUAAAUAGAAUGAAAGCUGGAGGGAAGGAGAAGGAGAAAACUGGAAAGAACAAUCUAAAGCAGAGAAAAUAGCAUAAACAAAGUUCAGGGUAAGAAAUAUUUAUUUUCAGUGUUCCUUCAGAAAAAGCCACACCAUUCCAAACCCAGAACUUGUUCAGUGUUUGAAAUGUUAAAAGGUGUCAUAAUUGCUGAAGUGUCUGUCUUCUCUACUAGAUGAGCCCAGGGACUAUGUCUUGUUCAUAUCCGUAUUUCCAGAACCAGAGCACAGUGGCUGGCUACAGUGGACACUUGAUUAAUACUUACUGAAUGAAUACACUGAUCUGAUCGAAUGAUUACAGACAGGAGCAUAGCAUUUGUAAAACAAACUGAAAAGGUCUCGUGUGUUCUUGUGGUCUUGAUUUUGCUUCUGAAAAAAAUUAUGUACUUUGGAAGUGUUGCCGAAAUCAUCAAGAAUCAUCAACAUAGUCCCCUGAUUCUUAUUGACAGUCAGAAUAACACAAAAGAUUCCAC
Non-coding RNA from Microcebus murinus (gray mouse lemur), 2733 nucleotides. The record is from RefSeq and is a predicted model, not a curated record. Lineage: Eukaryota; Metazoa; Chordata; Mammalia; Primates; Cheirogaleidae.